UAUUUCUUCGGAAUAUAGAGGGAGGACUAGGAGGUGCAGAGACUCGACAAACGGAGAGAUGAGGCGUGGCUACCGCUGCAGCAGCGGUGUGCUGGUUUGGCUGGUGCUCGUGCACACAUGCUUCGAAGCACCUCGGGUUCAGGCUCAGCAAGCAGCAAGAACUGCUCCGAUCGAAGCGGCGGCGCUCAACACAAUCCUGGGGAGAUGGGGAUGGAAGGCGACGCGGUCGCCGGCGUGGAACAUCAGCGGCGAGCCCUGCAGCGGCGCCGCCGUCGACGACGGCGUGGGGCUCGACGGCAACAGCGAGUUCAACCCGGGCAUCAAGUGCGACUGUUCCUUCAACAGCAACACCGUCUGCCACAUCACCAUGCUGAAGGUAUACGCAUUGAAUGUUGUCGGUCAGAUACCUUCAGAACUGCAGAACCUCACCUACCUAACUUACCUGAACCUGGAUCAAAAUUACUUGAUGGGUCCAAUUCCAUCAUUCAUUGGGCAAUUUUCUGGAAUGCAACACUUGAGCCUGGGAUUCAAUCCAUUCUCUGGGCCACUUCCAAAGGAACUUGGGAAUCUCACGAAUCUCAAUUUGCUAGGUAUCAGUUUGGACAAUUUUAGCGGUGGACUUCUUGAAGAUCUGGGCAAUCUGUCCAAACUUGAGCAAUUGUACAUUGAUAGUAGUGGCUUUAGUGGUCCCUUCCCUUCAACGUUCUCAAAACUUAAGAAGCUGAAGAUUCUGUACGGUCGACAAUGGUGCCAUAAUUUAUUGUGCUUCAGUGGCUUCUGUAUUUUCAAUGUUAAAUAUUUUGUUGUGCUUGCAGGCGAGCAUCGGAUAAUGAUUUCACAGGGAAAAUACCUGAUUAUUUUGGGAGUUUGACAAAUUUGGAAGAUCUGUAAGAAUAGUUAUUAACUAGGCGUAUAGCCCGCGCAUUUGCGCGGCUAGUACUGAAAAUUCAGAAAUUUGAAUGUCGUUGUAUCCUUACGUAAAUAUUACUCCCUCCGUCACAAAAUAAAUGCAAUUCUAGGACCAAACACACAAACCAAUGGUAGAUGUAAAUUUACCAAAAUACUCUUUGUCUUUUGUGAUGAGUGAAUGAGGUGUUAGUUGUCUUUUGUGAGAAUCUUUCGGAAACUGACUUGUUUUUGUGGUAGGUGGGUCAAAGUUAACAUUUUUUGUGGGACAAAUUUUGAACUCUAGAAUUGUAUUUAUUUUGGGACGGAGGGAGUAUACUAUUUUUUACCAUACAUCACUCUAUUCAUUAUUGUAAAUUAUGUCUUAUUAUUGGUUAAAACAAUUCAAAUAUGAUCUACCUAUAAUGAUAAUUUGAUUUGUUGAGCUUUAAUAAUAUUAUGCAUAUAAUUAUUCUUAUUUUCGUUUUAUAUUGAUUGAUUGUUGUUAGCUUUAGUUUUUAUUAAUAGUAUAUGUUUGUAACUGAUACAUAGCUAAAUGAUAUUUUAUAUUUAAUUUUUCAUAAUGGCAUUGGUGGGUGAUUUUUAAUUAGGCACAUGGAUAUUUUAGGCUAAUUUUUAUCAUAAUGGCAGUGGUGGGUAAUUUUUAUUUUUGUAUUUUUCUCCGAUUAAUGUGGGAAUUUCUAGACCUUGAGAGCGAACGUGGAAACUCCAUUUGUUGGCCAAAUAAUAAGAUAAUAGAUUAGACAACACGUCAUGUAUUAUUCAGGAGAUAACUGGAAAUUAUGCAGCAGAACUUUUCUACAUAUGUCCUUCGCAUUUGAAUUAGGAGUUUAGGUCGCAUGUCCAUGUCAUUAAACUGAUCCGCACAACAUAUGGAUACAAUAUAGUUUGCUUUUUCUAUAUUCAAAGAUGGAUUUGGUAUGGUAUUACUUCUUUUCUGAAAGCAUGAACUUGUAGGGUACUCCACGGAAAUUAUUUUGAGGGCCCGAUUCCAGCAAGUUUGUCUAAUCUAACCAGGUUGACAAACUUAAUUGUUGGUGAUAUUGUAAACGGAAGCUCUUCGUUGGCCUUCAUCAGUAGUCUGACAUCUUUGAGUACCCUGAUAUUGAGGAACUGCAAAUUAUCUGGUAAUCUUGGAGCAGUUAAUAUUUCUAAGCUUGCAAAUUUAAUCUUGCUGGACUUGAGUUUUAAUAAUAUCACAGGUCAAGUUCCUCCAUCAAUCCUUACUCUGGACAAACUGGAAUUCCUGUUUCUUGGGAACAAUAGCCUUACAGGAAGCCUGCCUGAUGUGAAAAGUGUUUUAUUAAAAAAUUUAGAUUUUUCAUAUAACCGGCUCAAUGGAAGGUUUCCUUCUUGGACUACUGAGAGCGAUUUGCAUCUGAAUUUGGUGGCAAACAACUUCGUUCUUGAUAGCACCAACGACAGUAUUCUACCUUCAGGACUAAACUGCCUCCAGCAGGACACUCCUUGUUUCCUUGGUUCACCACAAUAUUAUUCCUUCGCGGUAGACUGCGGCAGUAAUAGGUCUAUGACAGGAUCAGAUAAUACUAUGUACGAUGUAGAUCCUACAGACCUUGGGGCUUCAUCAUAUUAUGUUACCGGUCAAACAAGAUGGGGUGUCAGCAAUGUAGGAAAAUUCAACCAGGCCCCAAAUGGAAGUAACAUAAUAUAUAGCUCCAGCGAGCAGUUUCAGAAUGCAGCAGAUUCAGAACUGUUCCAAACAGCAAGGAUGUCAGCAUCGUCACUGAGAUACUACGGCCUUGGACUUGAGAAUGGAAAUUACACUGUUAUGCUUCAAUUUGCAGAGACUGCUUAUCCGGACACACAGACUUGGCAAAGCCUAGGAAGGAGAGUCUUUGACAUAUAUGUCCAGGGUUCUCUUAGAGAAAAGAACUUCAAUAUAAGGAAGACAGCUGGUGGAAAAUCUUUUACUGCAGUUAGCAAGAGAGCAACUGUGUCAAAAAACUUCCUUGAGAUCCAUCUCUUCUGGGCUGGCAAGGGCACUUGCUGCAUCCCUAGACAAGGUUACUAUGGGCCGAUGAUCUCAGCAUUAAGCGUUACUCCAGAUUUUACUCCAACUGUGCGAAAUGGUGUACUGAAAAAGAAAAGCAAAGCUGGAGCAAUUACUGGAAUAGUGAUCGGUGCAGCAGUUUUAGGAUUAGCAGCCUUAUUUGGAAUAUUUGUGUUCACUAAAAGGAGAAGAAGGCUAGCAAGACAGCAACAAGCAUGUGUCCUCGAAAAAUGUAGAACUGUACGACCUGAUUGGACAACCUGAUGUCUUCAGUUAUGCUGAACUCAAGUUAGCUACAGAUAAUUUCAGCCCUCAGAACAUUCUUGGAGAAGGCGGAUACGGGCCAGUCUAUAAGGGUACACUAACUGAUGGAAGAGCAAUAGCCGUGAAACAACUCUCUGAAUCAUCUCAUCAGGGGAAAAGACAGUUCGUGGCAGAGGUUGCAACCAUUUCUGCUGUCCAACACAGGAAUCUUGUCAAACUGCAUGGAUGCUGCAUUGACAGUAACACACAUUUGUUGGUCUAUGAGUACCUUGAAAAUGGAAGCCUUGAUCGAGCUCUCUUUGGAAAAAAUAGUAGGUUGUUGCUAGACUGGUCAACACGCUUUGAGAUCAUUUUAGGCGUUGCUAGAGGCCUAGCUUAUCUUCAUGAGGAGUCCAGCAUCCGCAUCGUGCACAGGGACAUCAAGGCCAGCAAUGUGCUCCUUGACGCCGAUCUCACCCCCAAGGUCUCCGACUUCGGACUAGCCAAGCUCUACGACGAGAACAAGUCGCAUGUCAGCACGACGAGAAUCGCCGGCACAUUUGGCUAUCUGGCUCCUGAGUAUGCAAUGAGAGGCCAGCUGACUGAAAAGGCCGACGUCUUCGCAUUCGGGGUGGUCGCCCUGGAGGCUGUUUCUGGCCAACCCAACACCAGUAACUCCCUCGAGGAAAGUGACAUCUAUAUCUUGGAGCGGGCCUGGGACCUGUACGAAGAGGAGCAACCACUGCGAAUCCUGGACCCAAGGCUGGAGAAGUUCGACGCCGGGGAAGCUCUGAGAGUCAUCCGUGUCGCGCUCAUGUGCACGCAGGGCUCGCCGCACCGGCGGCCGCCGAUGUCGAGGGUGGUGGCGAUGCUUACCGGGAAAGCCGAGGUGGCUGAGGAGAUGGCGAAGCCAAGCUACGCCGUCAUCACUGAAUCGCAGCUCAGGGGCGGGGACAGUAGCUGCAGCACGAGCAGCUACUGGGGCUGGUCGACCACCCCUGAGUUCAGCAGGCAGAAAGAGGUCGACCCUCUCACCCAGUUGCUGACGAUUACCGGAGCAAGCCACGAGAUCGAGGGAAGGUGAAAACAAAGAUGAUCGCUGCUGAAGGUGGUUGGUUUGAUGAGGUGAACGUUUCAGACGCUGUUAAAUAUGAGUUGGAAAAACACCUCGUUCUGAAUUAUUGUACUGUCAGGUGGAAAAAGUAUCACUCCUUGUAUAACGAAUAUAAAUGGGUUUACAUGUUGUAUGAAAAUGACCCUAGUUUGGAACUUUAGAUUGUAGUUUUUGUAAUUAAUGAUAACGGUCAAUGUACCUAGUGCUAUCUUACUAUUACUAA
RNA transcript from Panicum virgatum (switchgrass), 4497 nucleotides. It is a transcript of the gene named probable LRR receptor-like serine/threonine-protein kinase At1g56130, with no coding region annotated. The transcript has 23 exons. The record is from RefSeq and is a predicted model, not a curated record. NCBI's taxonomy places the organism in Eukaryota, Viridiplantae, Streptophyta, Magnoliopsida, Poales, Poaceae.